This is a long non-coding RNA of Bubalus bubalis (water buffalo), 353 nucleotides long. RefSeq lists it as uncharacterized. The record is from RefSeq and is a predicted model, not a curated record. Lineage: Eukaryota; Metazoa; Chordata; Mammalia; Artiodactyla; Bovidae. The transcript has 2 exons.
AGAAGUUCUCACCCUUAAAACCAGCAGCAUUGGUUUUCCAGUCAUUAGCGUUCAAAUGUCCUGCACGGGAAGUCCUGACAAUAACAUGCUGCACGUCUCUCCAGGUCAGAAACGGACUGGGGAAAGACAAGCUGCUGGCACUGAAGAUCACAGACACUACUGAAUGGAAGAUACUUUCAUCAGAGAGCUGCAAAACUAAUAAACACACAGAAAACAAAUCCGAAUAUAAAUUCACAGUCUUUCAUUCUCUUUCAAAGAACAUGUUAUUUUCUAGACAGCAUUUGACUCAGUGCCUGCAAGAAAUUCUAACCAGGAUACUUAUUCAAUUCAAUCUUGAAUGUGAGCUAUGACUU